UGAGCUUGAUCCUGGCUCAGAUUGAACGCUGGCGGCAUGCCUUACACAUGCAAGUCGAACGGCAGCGCGGGGCAACCUGGCGGCGAGUGGCGAACGGGUGAGUAAUAUAUCGGAACGUACCCUAGAGUGGGGGAUAACGUAGCGAAAGUUACGCUAAUACCGCAUACGAUCUACGGAUGAAAGUGGGGGCUCGCAAGACCUCAUGCUCGUGGAGCGGCCGAUAUCUGAUUAGCUAGUUGGUAGGGUAAAAGCCUACCAAGGCAUCGAUCAGUAGCUGGUCUGAGAGGACGACCAGCCACACUGGAACUGAGACACGGUCCAGACUCCUACGGGAGGCAGCAGUGGGGAAUUUUGGACAAUGGGCGAAAGCCUGAUCCAGCAAUGCCGCGUGAGUGAAGAAGGCCUUCGGGUUGUAAAGCUCUUUUGUCAGGGAAGAAACGGUGCGGGCUAAUAUCCUGCACUAAUGACGGUACCUG
Molecule: ribosomal RNA, 476 nt
Filed under: Janthinobacterium sp. 01WB04.2-54
Lineage: Bacteria; Pseudomonadati; Pseudomonadota; Betaproteobacteria; Burkholderiales; Oxalobacteraceae
Description: bacterial SSU rRNA
Rfam family: Bacterial small subunit ribosomal RNA
Source: RNAcentral